CUGGGGUGCUCGAGUGGCGAACGGGUGAGUAACACGUGGGUGAUCUGCCCUGCACUUCGGGAUAAGCCUGGGAAACUGGGUCUAAUACCGGAUAGGACCAUCGUUUAGUGUCGGUGGUGGAAAGUUUUUCGGUGUGGGAUGAGCUCGCGGCCUAUCAGCUUGUUGGUGGGGUAAUGGCCUACCAAGGCGUCGACGGGUAGCCGGCCUGAGAGGGUGUACGGCCACAUUGGGACUGAGAUACGGCCCAG
RNAcentral lists this ribosomal RNA (248 nucleotides) under uncultured Actinomycetales bacterium. Its description in RNAcentral is "partial 16S ribosomal RNA". It matches the Rfam family "Bacterial small subunit ribosomal RNA", at positions 82 to 334 of the family's 1533-position model. The record is from RNAcentral. Lineage: Bacteria; Bacillati; Actinomycetota; Actinomycetes; Actinomycetales.